AGUGAACGCUGGCGGCAGGCCUAAUACAUGCAAGUCGAACGGCAGCACAGCAGAGCUUGCUCUGUGGGUGGCGAGUGGCGGACGGGUGAGGAAUACGUGGGAAUCUGCCCAGUCGUGGGGGAUAACGUAGGGAAACUUACGCUAAUACCGCAUGCGCCCUUCGGGGAAAGCCGGGGGACCUUCGGGGCCUGGCGCGAUUGGAUGAGCCCACGUCGGAUUAGCUAGUUGGCGGGGUAAAGGCCCACCAAGGCGACGAUCCGUAGCUGGUCUGAGAGGAUGAUCAGCCACACUGGAACUGAGACACGGUUCCAGACUCCUACGGGAGCAGCAGUAGGGAAUAUUGGACAAUGGGCGCAAGCCUGAUCCAGCCAUGCCGCGUGAGUGAAGAAGGCCCUCGGGUUGU
RNAcentral lists this ribosomal RNA (403 nucleotides) under uncultured bacterium. RNAcentral describes it as "bacterial SSU rRNA". It matches the Rfam family "Bacterial small subunit ribosomal RNA", at positions 30 to 426 of the family's 1533-position model. The record is from RNAcentral.